This 305-nucleotide long non-coding RNA is filed under the name Coffea arabica (coffee). RNAcentral's name for it is "long non-coding RNA (CARA_LNC006585)". The record is from RNAcentral. Lineage: Eukaryota; Viridiplantae; Streptophyta; Magnoliopsida; Gentianales; Rubiaceae.
AAAAGGCCGUGGGACUUGAAAAUGCGACGAUUUGGCCAAACAAAGUUCAAAAAGGGUUUUUUGCAUGGAAAAUGGAGUCGCCACUUGGUAUAGAGUUUGGGUGUACCAAGUCACCCAAAAAUGAAUUUUUGAAAAGCAAAGUAAACAAACCCCUUUUUAAGAACUUUUAGGUCUACGUAACCAAAGAAAGGGAUCGGGGAUCACAUUUGAUAAGGGAGAAGGCAAAGGCAAAGCCUAAGGCACUCCCUUACCCUAGCCAAAGCUAGUUAAGCGAUUUAGCCCCACGUUUCCUAAUUUUUCUACCC